Molecule: long non-coding RNA, 346 nt
Filed under: Androctonus crassicauda
Lineage: Eukaryota; Metazoa; Arthropoda; Arachnida; Scorpiones; Buthidae
Source: RNAcentral
UAAAGUUGGUUUCACAGAUUUGAUGAUUAGUUCUAUGAGACGGAAGACACUUAGAGAGACAUCUAGACAAGAUGACGGACACACCAAAAGUUUUUUCUCUUCUCUCUUCUUCUCUGUGGACCAAAAACUAUCCUCCAACUUUUGGGAGCAUUGUCCGUCCUUGCCCUUCGAUGUCUCAACCAAUCCCGUCGAAUGAGAGAAAAGGGUUCGAAAUCAUUCCCGAAUCCCAUUCGCUCCGACACAUGACGAUUUUUCCCGGGAUUGGCGGCAGAACUGUCAGGAUUUUAUUUUUAUGAUUCGGGGGUUGUUGGGAGAUCUGGUGAACUUUGACCUCCUUAAUGUCAGC